CCAGCUCCAAGAGUGUAUAUUAAAGUUGUUGCAGUUAAAAAGCUCGUAGUUGGAUUUCGGAAGGUCCUUAGYAAUCCGCCCCUUCGGGGAGCGGGUUGCUGGCCUCCUAUGUUCCUAACGGYCCUCAUCCGCGAGGGYGGGGAAUCAACCGCUAGGAUCGUUUACUUUGAGGAAAUUAGAGUGUUCAAAGCAGGCGUAACUCGCCUCCGAAUACGUUAGCAUGGGAUAAUGGAAUACGACUUCGGUCUUGUUUCGUUGGUUUCGCUUGGCUGAAGUAAUGAUUGAUAGGGACAGUUGGGGGCAUUAGUAUUUAGUUGUCAGAGGUGAAAUUCUAGGAUUUACUAAAGACUGACCAAUGCGAAAGCAUUUGCCAAGGAUGUUUUCAUUAAUCAAGAACGAAAGUAGGGGGAUCGAAGACGAUCAGAUACCGUCGUAGUCUCUACCGUAAACUAUGCCGACCAGGGAUCCGGAGAGUUUGCAUGGAUGACUCCCCGGGCACCUCUGUGAGAAAUCAUAAUGUGUUUGGGUUUUGGGGGGAGUAUGGUCGCAAGGCUGAAACUUAAAGGAAUUGACGGAAGGGCACCACCAGGAGUGGAACCUGCGGCUUAAUUCGACUCAAC
Molecule: ribosomal RNA, 620 nt
Filed under: Vermamoeba vermiformis
Lineage: Eukaryota; Tubulinea; Echinamoebida; Vermamoebidae
Description: SSU rRNA
Rfam family: Eukaryotic small subunit ribosomal RNA
Source: RNAcentral